AGAGUUUGAUCCUGGCUCAGGACGAACGCUGGCGGCGUGCCUAAUACAUGCAAGUAGAACGCUGAAGAAAGGAGCUUGCUUCUUUUGGAUGAGUUGCGAACGGGUGAGUAACGCGUAGGUAACCUGCCUUGUAGCGGGGGAUAACUAUUGGAAACGAUAGCUAAUACCGCAUAACAGCUUUUGACACAUGUUAGAAGCUUGAAAGAUGCAAUUGCAUCACUACGAGAUGGACCUGCGUUGUAUUAGCUAGUAGGUAGGGUAACGGCCUACCUAGGCGACGAUACAUAGCCGACCUGAGAGGGUGAUCGGCCACACUGGGACUGAGACACGGCCCAGACUCCUACGGGAGGCAGCAGUAGGGAAUCUUCGGCAAUGGGGGCAACCCUGACCGAGCAACGCCGCGUGAGUGAAGAAGGUUUUCGGAUCGUAAAGCUCUGUUGUAAGAGAAGAACGUGUGUGAGAGUGGAAAGUUCACACAGUGACGGUAACUUACCAGAGAGGGACGGCUAACUACGUGCCAGCAGCCGCGGUAAUACGUAGGUCCCGAGCGUUGUCCGGAUUUAUUGAGCGUAAAGCGAGCGCAGGCGGUUUAAUAAGUCUGAAGUUAAAGGCAGUGGCUUAACCAUUGUUCGCUUUGGAAACUGUUAAACUGGAGUGCAAAAGGGGAGAGUGGAAUUUCCGUGUGUAGCGGGUGAAAGGCGUAAAUAAUAAGGGAGGAACCCCGGGUGGCAAAAGCGGCUCUCUGGUUCUGUAACUGAACGCUGAAGCUCGGAAAGGGGGGGGGGAGAA
This 789-nucleotide ribosomal RNA is filed under the name uncultured bacterium. Its description in RNAcentral is "bacterial SSU rRNA". It matches the Rfam family "Bacterial small subunit ribosomal RNA", at positions 8 to 772 of the family's 1533-position model. The record is from RNAcentral.